CUGCACUUGAACCUCAGGAAGCAACAGGAACGGAGUCGGCUUCUGAAGUACCAGACAAAGUGGAGGAGAAUCUACCAACCCUUCAAGAGACGGCUGAGAAGGCCAUGUCUGACACACUGACAGAUGUCAAGGAGAGCAUGACCAGAGUGGUGGACAUGACCAAGGAGGCCAUGCAGGAUGGUAUGAAGA
Non-coding RNA from Pelodiscus sinensis (Chinese soft-shelled turtle), 189 nucleotides. Lineage: Eukaryota; Metazoa; Chordata; Testudines; Trionychidae. The record is from RefSeq and is a predicted model, not a curated record.